This 71-nucleotide transfer RNA is filed under the name Candidatus Woesebacteria bacterium. Its description in RNAcentral is "tRNA-Gly". It matches the Rfam family "tRNA". From Rfam's summary of the family: Transfer RNA (tRNA) molecules are approximately 80 nucleotides in length. Their secondary structure includes four short double-helical elements and three loops (D, anti-codon, and T loops). Lineage: Bacteria; Candidatus Woeseibacteriota. The record is from RNAcentral.
GCGGGUAUGGUUUAGUGGUAGAAUGCGACCUUCCCAAGGUCGAGGUGGGGGUUCGAUUCCCCCUACCCGCU